CCCGCCGAAUUUAAGCAUAUUACUAAGCGGAGGAAAAGAAACUAACUAGGAUUCCCUCAGUAGCGGCGAGCGAACAGGGAAUAGCCCAGCGCCGAAUCCCGCGGCCGGUCGACGGACGCCGGGAAAUGUGGUGUUAGGGAGGAUCCGCCAUCCUGAGAUCGUUCGGCGCGCCCAAGUCCUUCUUGAACGGGGCCACUUACCCAUAGAGGGUGCCAGGCCCGUAGUUGGCCGCCGUCGAUCGCGGGAGGAUCACUCCUCAGAGUCGGGUUGCUUGAGAGUGCAGCCCUAAGCGGGUGGUAAACUCCAUCUAAGGCUAAAUAUGACCACGAGACCGAUAGCGAACAAGUACCGUGAGGGAAAGUUGAAAAGAACUUUGAAGAGAGAGUUCAAGAGUACGUGAAACCGUUCAGGGGUAAACCUGAGAAACCCGAAAGGUCGAACGGGGAGAUUCAGCGCGGCCCGGAUAACCGCGGCGAGUCGGCAACGUGCGACCGUUGGCGUUCGCGCCGACGGCUCCGUGUCCGUUCCGUCCGCGGCCGAACGUGUGCACUUCUCCCCCUGUAGGACGUCGCGACCCGUUGGGUGCCGGUCUAAGGCGUGCGGUCUAGUCCGUUCGAGUUUUCGCUCGUUCGAAACCGCGAACGCCCGACCGGCGACCUACCGACGGUACGAUCAUGGCGAGGGGCCGCGAUCAGUUCGCGUCCGGCCAAUCUCAAGUACGGACGGUAAAUCCGAAGCGCGGACCUAGCGCCGCAUCCGGACCCGUCCGACUGCUGGCGAUUGCGUUCUCGGACAGACCCCUGUUACACGCCGGUCGGCGGCGCUAUAGCUUUGGGUACUUUCAGGACCCGUCUUGAAACACGGACCAAGGAGUCUAGCAUGUGCGCGAGUCAUUGGGACUCGAACGAAACCUAAAGGCGUAAUGAAAGUGAAGGUUCGCCUCGCGCGAACCGAGGGAGGAUGGUCGAUCGUUCGAGGUCGUCCCGCACUCCCUGGGCGUCUCGUUCUCAUCGCGAGAAGAGGCGCACCAAGAGCGUACACGCUGGGACCCGAAAGAUGGUGAACUAUGCCUGGUCAGGACGAAGUCAGGGGAAACCCUGAUGGAGGUCCGUAGCGAUUCUGACGUGCAAAUCGAUCGUCGGAACUGGGUAUAGGGGCGAAAGACUAAUCGAACCAUCUAGUAGCUGGUUCCCUCCGAAGUUUCCCUCAGGAUAGCUGGCGCUCGCUUCUCGCGAGUCUCAUUCGGUAAAGCGAAUGAUUAGAGGCAUUGGGGUCGAAACGGCCUCAACCUAUUCUCAAACUUUAAAUGGGUGAGAUCUCCGGCUUGCUUGAACUGUGAAGCCGCGAGAUAUCGGAUCAGAGUGCCAAGUGGGCCACUUUUGGUAAGCAGAACUGGCGCUGUGGGAUGAACCAAACGCCGAGUUAAAGCGCCUAAAUCGACGCUUAUGGGAUACCAUGAAAGGCGUUGGUAACUUAAGACAGCAGGACGGUGGCCAUGGAAGUCGGAAUCCGCCAAGGAGUGUGUAACAACUCACCUGCCGAAGUUACUAGCCCUGAAAAUGGAUGGCGCUGAAGCGUCGUGCUUAUACUCUGCCGUCAGAGGCAUGUGAGACGGUCCUUCGCGGUCGUCAUGAAGCCCUGACGAGUAGGAGGGUCGCGGCGGUGAGCGCAGAAGGACCAGGCGCGAGCCAGUCUGGAGCCGCCGUCGGUGCAGAUCUUGGUGGUAGUAGCAAAUACUCCAGCGAGGCCCUGGAGGACUGACGUGGAGAAGGGUUUCGUGUGAACAGCCGUUGCACACGAGUCAGUCGAUCCUAAGCCAUAGGCGAAAGCCGAUGUCGAUGCGGUGUAUCUUUCGGAGCCUGUCUAUUUAUAUAAAUAUAUAUUAUUAUUAUAUGUACAGAGAGAGAGACGCACACCCGUCGGGCGAAAGGGAAUCCGGUUCCUAUUCCGGAACCCGGCAGCGGAACCGUUAUUAAGUCGUGCCCUCAUUCAGAGAGUUCGUCGGGGCAACCCAAAAAGACCUGGAGACGCCGUCGGGAGAUCCGGGAAGAGUUUUCUUUUCUGCAUAAGCGCUCGAGUUCCAUGGAAUCCUCUAGCAGGGAGAUAUGGUUUGGAGCGCGAAGAGCACCGCAGUUGCGGCGGUGUCCGGAUCUUCCCCUCGGACCUUGAAAAUCCAGGAGAGGGCCACGUGGAGGCGUCGCGCCGGUUCGUACCCAUAUCCGCAGCAGGUCUCCAAGGUGAAGAGCCUCUAGUC
Molecule: ribosomal RNA, 2254 nt
Organism: Oryctes borbonicus
Lineage: Eukaryota; Metazoa; Arthropoda; Insecta; Coleoptera; Scarabaeidae
Rfam family: Eukaryotic large subunit ribosomal RNA
Source: Rfam